GGACCUGUAGCUCAGUUGGCUAGAGCAAUCGGCUCAUAACCGAUCGGUCGGGGGUUCAAAUCCUCCCAGGUCCA
This 74-nucleotide transfer RNA is filed under the name Halobacteroides halobius DSM 5150. It matches the Rfam family "tRNA". From Rfam's summary of the family: Transfer RNA (tRNA) molecules are approximately 80 nucleotides in length. Lineage: Bacteria; Bacillati; Bacillota; Clostridia; Halanaerobiales; Halobacteroidaceae. The record is from Rfam by way of RNAcentral.